Molecule: ribosomal RNA, 483 nt
Filed under: uncultured bacterium
Lineage: Bacteria
Description: bacterial SSU rRNA
Rfam family: Bacterial small subunit ribosomal RNA
Source: RNAcentral
GAUGAACGCUAGCGGCGGGCCUAAUACAUGCAAGUCGAACGGGAUUGUUGGUAGUAAUACUGACAUGAGAGUGGCGCACGGGUGCGUAACACGUAUGUAACCUACCUUUAACAGGGGGAUAGCUUCGAGAAAUCGAAAUUAAUACCCCAUAACAUUUAGAAGAGGCAUCUCUUUUUAUCAAAGCUCCGGCGGUUAAAGAUGGACAUGCGGUGCAUUAGCUAGUUGGUGAGGUAACGGCUCACCAAGGCUACGAUGCAUAGGGGGUCUGAGAGGAUGAUCCCCCACACUGGUACUGAGACACGGACCAGACUCCUACGGGAGGCAGCAGUGAGGAAUAUUGGUCAAUGGUCGCAAGACUGAACCAGCCAUGCCGCGUGCAGGAAGACGGUCCUAUGGAUUGUAAACUGCUUUUAUACAGGAAGAAACCCUCCCACGUGUGGGAGCUUGACGGUACUGUAGGAAUAAGGAUCGGCUAACUCCGUG